CGAUGAUCUCCAGCUUGCUGGGGUGAUUAGUGGCGAACGGGUGAGUAACACGUGAGUAACCUGCCCUUAACUCUGGGAUAAGCCUGGGAAACUGGGUCUAAUACCGGAUAUGACUUCUCAUCGCAUGGUGGGGGGUGGAAAGCUUUUUGUGGUUUUGGAUGGACUCGCGGCCUAUCAGCUUGUUGGUGAGGUAAUGGCUUACCAAGGCGACGACGGGUAGCCGGCCUGAGAGGGUGACCGGCCACACUGGGACUGAGACACGGCCCAGACUCCUACGGGAGGCAGCAGUGGGGAAUAUUGCACAAUGGGCGCAAGCCUGAUGCAGCGACGCCGCGUGAGGGAUGACGGCCUUCGGGUUGUAAACCUCUUUCAGUAGGGAAGAAGCGAAAGUGACGGUACCUGCAGAAGAAGCGCCGGCUAACUACGUGCCAGCAGCCGCGGUAAUACGUAGGGCGCAAGCGUUAUCCGGAAUUAUUGGGCGUAAAGAGCUCGUAGGCGGUUUGUCGCGUCUGCCGUGAAAGUCCGGGGCUCAACUCCGGAUCUGCGGUGGGUACGGGCAGACUAGAGUGAUGUAGGGGAGACUGGAAUUCCUGGUGUAGCGGUGAAAUGCGCAGAUAUCAGGAGGAACACCGAUGGCGAAGGCAGGUCUCUGGGCAUUAACUGACGCUGAGGAGCGAAAGCAUGGGGAGCGAACAGGAUUAGAUACCCUGGUAGUCCAUGCCGUAAACGUUGGGCACUAGGUGUGGGGGACAUUCCACGUUUUCCGCGCCG
Molecule: ribosomal RNA, 771 nt
Filed under: bacterium
Lineage: Bacteria
Description: bacterial SSU rRNA
Rfam family: Bacterial small subunit ribosomal RNA
Source: RNAcentral